AGGGUCAGCCGGAUAAUCGCGGAAACUUUGUUUCUGAGGAAAGUCCGAGCUCCGAAGGGCAGGAUGCCGGGUAACGCCCGGGCAGGCAGACGAAAGUUAUUCCUGACAGAUAGUGCAACAGAAAAUACACCGCCGUAUAUUUACUGUCCGUAUGCUUUUUUAAGUAUUUACGGACCUGAAUUUAAGUAAAAUAACGGUAAGGGUGAAAUGGCGGGGUAAG
Molecule: RNase P RNA, 220 nt
Filed under: Actinomycetota bacterium
Lineage: Bacteria; Bacillati; Actinomycetota
Description: Actinobacteria bacterium (hydrocarbon metagenome) partial RNase P RNA component class A
Rfam family: Bacterial RNase P class A
About the family: Ribonuclease P (RNase P) is a ubiquitous endoribonuclease, found in archaea, bacteria and eukarya as well as chloroplasts and mitochondria. Its best characterised activity is the generation of mature 5'-ends of tRNAs by cleaving the 5'-leader elements of precursor-tRNAs. Cellular RNase Ps are ribonucleoproteins.
Source: RNAcentral